Molecule: long non-coding RNA, 1243 nt
Filed under: Bos indicus x Bos taurus (hybrid cattle)
Lineage: Eukaryota; Metazoa; Chordata; Mammalia; Artiodactyla; Bovidae
Description: lncRNA (ENSBIXG00005006962.1)
Source: RNAcentral
UAUAUGGUCAUACAAAUUUAUGAGGCAAAUUCAUUUGAACAGAUGUAAAAUUUUUCCCAGAUAAUAUUUAAGUGGUAAAAACACAUUGGCAUUGAGUGUGAAGUAAGAUUCUAUGUUUUAAAUUAAAAAUAAAUAUUUACACAAUUUCAUUUGCAAAGGAAAAGAGCUGAAAUAUUCUGAAUUGUAGGUAGUAGUUAUAACUGAAGGGUGGGCCUAUGGGUUUUUAAAAAAACUUUCAUUUUUGCAUUUACUUAUGACCUGAAAUUCUGGGUGUUUUUAGUUGAAACUUCCUGAUGUGUAUUAUGUUUUAUAAUGAGAAAAACUGUGAUAGAUUUAAAUGAAAGUAAACAUUAAAAUUAAAAUCCUAGAAAUAAUUGGGUAUAUUUCUCCACUAAUUUUUAUCCAAUACAAACUUUUUCUUCCUUUAAAGUGGAUUCUCCAGGAAGAUUAUAACCCACCACCAUUCUGGAUCUUCCUUUCAAGUAGCCCUGAAGAUCCAAUCAACUGGGCUCUAAAUCUUUUCUAAUGAACCUCCUCACCGGCAAGGGGCUGGCCUUACCCUCCUUUUGUAACAGCCGGACUCCCGCCCUACCACUGGCUUUGGAUGCUCCAGCCUCUGCCUCACGGGGACGCCGCCUCCAUAGAUGUGGGCACAGGAGGGCCUCAACCCCAGAUCUGAAACCCCAGGUCUAUGCAAACCCAAGGCCUUCCAGGACCUCCGUUCCAGGACAAUGAGGCUCCUCCAUGUCUUCCUCACCGCUCUCUUGAUCCUCUUCCAGGCCUGGACCGGACACCUCUUGCCACAUGACACGGUGUGACAUUGAGUUCUGCUGGACAAGGCUUCCAUCUAACGAGCCUGUGAGAGCUGGGUGGGUUUUGCAUGAUGGGGAGGUGGGGUGACUGGUGAGGCACACGGGGCAGUGGUUACAGACCCUGCGGUUAACACCCAGGUGUUCCUGUGACAGGAAGGGUGUAUAUAUAUAUAUAUAUAUAUAUAUAUAUAUAUAUACAUAUAUAUUUUUUUUUCUUUCUUUUGGCUGUGCUGGGUCUUCAUUGCUGCACGGGCUUUUCUCUAGUUUUGGAGAGCGCAGGCUACUCUCCAGUUGCAGGGCACACGUUUCUCAUUGCAGGGGCUUCUCAUUGUGGAGCCCGGGCUCUGGAGCACAGGCUCACCGUGGCGUCUCAGGGGCUUACUUACUCCCACACGUGGCAUCUUCUCGAACCAGGUUCAUCAGCAUCACUG